This 1040-nucleotide ribosomal RNA is filed under the name Microbacterium barkeri. Its description in RNAcentral is "bacterial SSU rRNA". It matches the Rfam family "Bacterial small subunit ribosomal RNA", at positions 338 to 1389 of the family's 1533-position model. Lineage: Bacteria; Bacillati; Actinomycetota; Actinomycetes; Micrococcales; Microbacteriaceae. The record is from RNAcentral.
CCUACGGGAGGCAGCAGUGGGGAAUAUUGCACAAUGGGCGGAAGCCUGAUGCAGCAACGCCGCGUGAGGGACGACGGCCUUCGGGUUGUAAACCUCUUUUAGCAGGGAAGAAGCGAAAGUGACGGUACCUGCAGAAAAAGCGCCGGCUAACUACGUGCCAGCAGCCGCGGUAAUACGUAGGGCGCAAGCGUUAUCCGGAAUUAUUGGGCGUAAAGAGCUCGUAGGCGGUUUGUCGCGUCUGCUGUGAAAACCCGAGGCUCAACCUCGGGCCUGCAGUGGGUACGGGCAGACUAGAGUGCGGUAGGGGAAAUUGGAAUUCCUGGUGUAGCSGUGGAAUGCGCAGAUAUCAGGAGGAACACCGAUGGCGAAGGCAGAUCUCUGGGCCGUUACUGACGCUGAGGAGCGAAAGGGUGGGGAGCAAACAGGCUUAGAUACCCUGGUAGUCCACCCCGUAAACGUUGGGAACUAGUUGUGGGGGCCUUUCCACGGUCUCCGUGACGCAGCUAACGCAUUAAGUUCCCCGCCUGGGGAGUACGGCCGCAAGGCUAAAACUCAAAGGAAUUGACGGGGACCCGCACAAGCGGCGGAGCAUGCGGAUUAAUUCGAUGCAACGCGAAGAACCUUACCAAGGCUUGACAUACACCGGAAACGGCCAGAGAUGGUCGCCCCUUUAUGGUCGGUGUACAGGUGGUGCAUGGUUGUCGUCAGCUCGUGUCGUGAGAUGUUGGGUUAAGUCCCGCAACGAGCGCAACCCUCGUUCUAUGUUGCCAGCACGUAAUGGUGGGAACUCAUGGGAUACUGCCGGGGUCAACUCGGAGGAAGGUGGGGAUGACGUCAAAUCAUCAUGCCCCUUAUGUCUUGGGCUUCACGCAUGCUACAAUGGCCGGUACAAAGGGCUGCAAUACCGUGAGGUGGAGCGAAUCCCAAAAAGCCGGUCCCAGUUCGGAUUGAGGUCUGCAACUCGACCUCAUGAAGUCGGAGUCGCUAGUAAUCGCAGAUCAGCAACGCUGCGGUGAAUACGUUCCCGGGUCUUGUACAUC